AACGAACGUUGGCGGCGUGGAUGAGGCAUGCAGGUCGAACGUGAAAGCCGACAAGGCGAGUAAAGUGGCGGACGGGCGAGUAACACGUAACCAAGCUGCCUGCGAGACGGGAAUAACCUCGGGGAAACCGAGGCUAAGACCCGAUGGCCUCCAGAGACCGCAUGGUCAUUGGAGUAAAUGGACGGGAUCCUUUGGGACCGCCUGCUCGCAGAGGUGAUUGCGGCCCAUCAGCAGUUGGUAGGGUAACGGCCUACCAAGGCUACGACGGGUAGCCGGCCUUAGAGGGUGGUCGGCCGCACUGGGACUGAGACACUGCCCAGA
Molecule: ribosomal RNA, 321 nt
Filed under: uncultured bacterium
Lineage: Bacteria
Description: bacterial SSU rRNA
Rfam family: Bacterial small subunit ribosomal RNA
Source: RNAcentral